UAAGCAAAAGCAUUAAGUGAUCCACCUGGGGAGUACGGCCCGCAAGGCUGAAACUCAAAGGAAUUGACGGGGGGCCCGCACAAGCGGAGGAACAUGUGGUUUAAUUGGAUGAUACGCGGGAACCUUACCUGGGCUUAAAUGUUGAGUGCAUGAGGUGGAAACACUUCUUCCCUUCGGGGCUCUCAGCAAGGUGCUGCAUGGUUGUCGUCAGCUCGUGCCGUGAGGUGUCGGGUUAAGUCCCAUAACGAGCGCAACCCUUAUCGUUAGUUGCCAGCGGGUCAUGCCGGGAACUCUAACGAAACUGCCGGUGUAAACCGAGAGGAAGGUGGGGAUGACGUCAAAUCAGCACGGCCCUUAUGUCCAGGGCCACACACGUGUUACAAUGGCCGGUACAGAGGGCAGCUACCUGGAGACAGGAUGCGAAUCUCGAAAGCCGGUCUCAGUUCGGAUCGGAGUCUGCAACUCGACUCCGUGAAGCUGGAUUCGCUAGUAAUCGCGCAUCAGCCAUGGCGCGGUGAAUACGUUCCCGG
This 530-nucleotide ribosomal RNA is filed under the name uncultured bacterium. RNAcentral's name for it is "bacterial SSU rRNA". It matches the Rfam family "Bacterial small subunit ribosomal RNA", at positions 848 to 1377 of the family's 1533-position model. The record is from RNAcentral.